UACGUAGGGGGCUAGCGUUGUCCGGAUUUAUUGGGGGUAAAGAGCGUGUAGGCGGCCAGGUAGGUCUGCUGUGAAAACUCGAGGCUCAACCUCGAGACGUCGGCGGAAACCAUCUGGCUAGAGUCCGGAAGAGGAGAGUAGAAUUCCUGGUGUAGCGGUGAAAUGCGUAGAUAUCAGGAGGAAUCCCGGUGGUGUAGACGGCUCUCUGGACCGCCACUGACGCUGAGACACGAAAGCGUGGGUAGCAAACAGG
Molecule: ribosomal RNA, 253 nt
Filed under: uncultured bacterium
Lineage: Bacteria
Description: partial 16S ribosomal RNA
Rfam family: Bacterial small subunit ribosomal RNA
Source: RNAcentral